GUGCUCGCUUCGGCCUCACACAUGCUAAAAUGGGAACGGUACAGAGGAGAUUAGCAUGGCCCCUGUGCAAGGAUGACACUCAAGUUCGAGAAGCGGUCCAUAUUUUC
Small nuclear RNA from Callithrix jacchus (white-tufted-ear marmoset), 107 nucleotides. Lineage: Eukaryota; Metazoa; Chordata; Mammalia; Primates; Cebidae. The record is from Ensembl.